RNAcentral lists this transfer RNA (74 nucleotides) under Acidobacteriota bacterium. RNAcentral's name for it is "tRNA-His". It matches the Rfam family "tRNA". Rfam says of the family: Transfer RNA (tRNA) molecules are approximately 80 nucleotides in length. Their secondary structure includes four short double-helical elements and three loops (D, anti-codon, and T loops). Further hydrogen bonds mediate the characteristic L-shaped molecular structure. tRNAs have two regions of fundamental functional importance: the anti-codon, which is responsible for specific mRNA codon recognition, and the 3' end, to which the tRNAs corresponding amino acid is attached (by aminoacyl-tRNA synthetases). tRNAs cope with the degeneracy of the genetic code in two manners: having more than one tRNA (with a specific anti-codon) for a particular amino acid; and 'wobble' base-pairing, i.e. permitting non-standard base-pairing at the 3rd anti-codon position. The record is from RNAcentral. Lineage: Bacteria; Pseudomonadati; Acidobacteriota. RNAcentral also lists the same sequence under 2 other names.
GUGGGCGUAGCUCAGUCGGUCAGAGCGCCGGAUUGUGGUUCCGGAGGUCGCCGGUUCGAUCCCGGUCGCCCACC